UGGGUAAACCAGACGAUCGCGUGCCGCAAGGUAUGAGGAAAGUCCGGGCUCCAUAGGGCAAGGAUGCCAGAUAACGUCUGGCGUAGGUAACUAUAGGGAAAGUGCAACAGAAACAUUCCGCCGAAACGGGUAAUGCCGUGGUAAGGUUGAAAUGGUGAGGUAAGAGCUCACCGGCAUUAUGGAGACAUAAUGGCCGUGUAAACCCCAUCCGGAGCAAGACAAAUUAGGGCUUUUAGUGAGGCUGCCCGUCUCCGCCCUAGUGGUAGGUCGCUUGACGCUGUAAGCAAUUGCAGUGCUAGAUGGAUGAUCGUCUAAUACAGAACCCGGCUUACGGUUUGCCCAUACU
This 346-nucleotide RNase P RNA is filed under the name Clostridiales bacterium. RNAcentral describes it as "RNase P RNA component class A". It matches the Rfam family "Bacterial RNase P class A". Rfam says of the family: Ribonuclease P (RNase P) is a ubiquitous endoribonuclease, found in archaea, bacteria and eukarya as well as chloroplasts and mitochondria. Its best characterised activity is the generation of mature 5'-ends of tRNAs by cleaving the 5'-leader elements of precursor-tRNAs. Cellular RNase Ps are ribonucleoproteins. The record is from RNAcentral. Lineage: Bacteria; Bacillati; Bacillota; Clostridia; Eubacteriales.